UAUGAGGUUGCAUAAGGAGUGCAGAAGAUUUUGAGUCUUUUUGUGCGGGUUCGAGUCCUGUUCUUCUA
RNAcentral lists this transfer RNA (68 nucleotides) under Enyalioides praestabilis. RNAcentral describes it as "tRNA-Gln". It matches the Rfam family "tRNA". From Rfam's summary of the family: Transfer RNA (tRNA) molecules are approximately 80 nucleotides in length. Lineage: Eukaryota; Metazoa; Chordata; Lepidosauria; Squamata; Hoplocercidae. The record is from RNAcentral.